Capsaspora owczarzaki ATCC 30864 is the source of this 85-nucleotide transfer RNA. It matches the Rfam family "tRNA". From Rfam's summary of the family: Transfer RNA (tRNA) molecules are approximately 80 nucleotides in length. Their secondary structure includes four short double-helical elements and three loops (D, anti-codon, and T loops). Lineage: Eukaryota; Filasterea; Ministeriida; Capsasporidae. The record is from Rfam.
CCGACCUUAGCUCAGUUGGUAGAGCGUCUGACUGUAGAUGAAAGCAAAUAUCAGACGGCCUCUGGUUCGAAUCCGGAAGGUCGGA